GACGAACGCUGGCGGCGUGCCUAAUACAUACAAGUCGAACGCACUCUCGUUUAGAUUGAAGGAGCUUGCUCCUGAUUGAUAAACAUUUGAGUGAGUGGCGGACGGGUGAGUAACACGUGGGUAACCUGCCCUAAAGUGGGGGAUAACAUUUGGAAACAGAUGCUAAUACCGCAUAAAACCUAACACCGCAUGGUGUAGGGUUGAAAGAUGGUUUCGGCUAUCACUUUAGGAUGGACCCGCGGUGCAUUAGUUAGUUGGUGAGGUAAAGGCUCACCAAGACCGUGAUGCAUAGCCGACCUGAGAGGGUAAUCGGCCACACUGGGACUGAGACACGGCCCAGACUCCUACGGGAGGCAGCAGUAGGGAAUCUUCCACAAUGGACGAAAGUCUGAUGGAGCAACGCCGCGUGAGUGAAGAAGGUUUCGGUAUCGUAAAACUCUAGUUGUUGGUAGAAGAUGUAUCUGAUAGUAACUGAUCAGGUAGUGACGGUAGU
RNAcentral lists this ribosomal RNA (493 nucleotides) under uncultured bacterium. Its description in RNAcentral is "bacterial SSU rRNA". It matches the Rfam family "Bacterial small subunit ribosomal RNA", at positions 28 to 500 of the family's 1533-position model. The record is from RNAcentral.